AACGAACGCUGGCGGCAUGCCUAACACAUGCAAGUCGAACGAGACCUUCGGGACUUGUGGCGACUGGGUGCGUAACGCGUGGGAACCUGCCCUUAGGUUCGGCAUAACUCUCCGAAAGGGGUGCUAAUACCGGAUAAUGUCUUCGGACCAAAGAUUUAUUGACUUUGGAUGGACCCGCGUUGGAUUAGCUAGUUGGUAGGGUAAUAGCCUACCACGGCGACGAUCCAUAGCUGGUCAGAGAGGAUGAUCAGCCACACUGGGACGGAGACACGGCCCAGACUCCUACGGGAGGCAGCAGAGGGGAAUAUUGGACAAUGGGCGAAGGCCUGAUCCAGCAAGGCCGCGUAAGUGAUGAAGGUCGUGGGGUUGUAAAGCUCUUUUACCCGGGAUGAUAAUGACAGUACCGGGAGAAUAAGCUCCGGCUAACUCCGUG
Molecule: ribosomal RNA, 433 nt
Filed under: uncultured bacterium
Lineage: Bacteria
Description: partial 16S ribosomal RNA
Rfam family: Bacterial small subunit ribosomal RNA
Source: RNAcentral